This 336-nucleotide unclassified non-coding RNA is filed under the name soil metagenome. RNAcentral describes it as "partial contains 5.8S ribosomal RNA, internal transcribed spacer 2, and large subunit ribosomal RNA". The stretch from base 1 to 120 matches the Rfam family "5.8S ribosomal RNA", at positions 35 to 154 of the family's 154-position model. The record is from RNAcentral.
GAUGAAGAACGCAGCGAAAUGCGAUAAGUAAUGUGAAUUGCAGAAUUCAGUGAAUCAUCGAAUCUUUGAACGCACAUUGCGCCCGCCAGUAUUCUGGUGGGCAUGCCUGUUCGAGCGUCAUUUCAACCAUCAAGCCCCCGGCUUGUGUUGGGGACCUGCGGCUGCCGCAGGCCCUGAAAAGCAGUGGCGGGCUCGCUGUCACACCGAGCGUAGUAGCAUACAUCUCGCUCUGGGCGUGCUGCGGGUUCCGGCCGUUAAACCACCUUCAUAACCCAAGGUUGACCUCGGAUCAGGUAGGAAGACCCGCUGAACUUAAGCAUAUCAAUAAGCGGAGGA